This is a long non-coding RNA of Lolium perenne, 980 nucleotides long. RefSeq lists it as uncharacterized. The record is from RefSeq and is a predicted model, not a curated record. NCBI's taxonomy places the organism in Eukaryota, Viridiplantae, Streptophyta, Magnoliopsida, Poales, Poaceae.
UGUCAUUCCUGAGAAGAUAUACCGCUCCAGGUAGGACCUACAGAGCCCCGCCGGACGGGAGCCAGGGGCCAAGUCGCCGCUCCUCCUUUUCUCCGGCAAUCGCCGGCGACGGCCCGCUCCGAUCCGCGUCCGGGAAUCGUAGCGCUGCGCCUGGCCUUCCUCUUUCCCGUGUCCCUCGUGUGGAAGAUCGCAAGGAGCGAGUGAGGGCGCCGGUUCGAGCAACUGCUUCUGAACCUUAGCACCUGCAUUCGCACACCAUCCACUCGCCUCGAGCAAAUGCUUCCGAUCGAGGCAAACCAUGAUCGAGGAAUUUUCACCAGACAAGCUCACGGUGGCGGAUGACUGAAAGCAGGAAGCUCCGAUCGAGGCGACCUGCAGGUGUUCGGCGAAUUUCCCCAGCAGGGAGAUUUCCCCGCCGAUGGAUUCAAUUCUACAGGUGGGCACACAGAUGAUGAAUCACACCGGAUGAUUUAUUUGGCUGUUCUGCCUCUCAUGGAGACGACGACUGUUCUGCCUCUCAUGGAGACGACGGCUGAUCUGCCUCUCAGGGCGACGAUGGCGACGAUGGGAAAGGAAUGAUAGUGUCAUAUGGAUUGCAAAGUAGCCCAGCACCGCAAAGCCAGUGCGGUAGCAGCAUGAUGAUGACAACGAUGGAAGCAACAAACGAAAUGGAGUUGCUGUAGAAGAAGGCAAGGUACCGGCCCCUCAUAUUGUCAUGCAUCACCGGAUUGCCCGCCUCGUACCCGUUGCCGCUGCUCUGCCACGUCCCACCAGGCGGUUCCAGGCCGGCCUGGUACGCUACGCUCGCCACCAAGAUGCCUAGCAGCAUCAGCUGCUGGAUUGCCAUUUCUGUUCAGCUCCCUCACCAAAAAUACUAGCAGCAGCCCAGCUGAAAAGAAGAUGACCACGGCCACCAACACGAAGAUGUAGAUGGAUGUCUUGAGGUGCUGCGUACUUCCGGCGGCAUAGGCCCCCAUCAA